This 481-nucleotide ribosomal RNA is filed under the name uncultured bacterium. RNAcentral describes it as "partial 16S ribosomal RNA". It matches the Rfam family "Bacterial small subunit ribosomal RNA", at positions 28 to 507 of the family's 1533-position model. The record is from RNAcentral.
GACGAACGUUGGCGGCGUGCUUAAUACAUGCAAGUCAACUGAAGCAGUGGUAGCAAUAUCGCUGUGGAGGUGGCGCACGGGUGAGUAACACGUAGGUAAUCUGCCUUCAGGUCUGGCAUAACUCCGGGAAACCGGGGCUAAAAGCAGAUGAUGCAGCGGCUCGACAUCGAGACAGUUGUUAAAGCUAUGGCGCCUGAAGAUGAGCCUGCGUCUGAUUAGCUAGUUGGCGGGGUAACGGCCCACCAAGGCAACGAUCAGUAGCUGGUCUGAGAGGAUGAUCAGCCACACUGGAACUGAGACACGGUCCAGACUCCUACGGGAGGCAGCAGUAAGGAAUAUUGCUCAAUGGGAGAAAUCCUGAAGCAGCAACGCCGCGUGAGGGACGAAGGGCUUUUGCUUGUAAACCUCUGUAGUGAGAGAAAAAAAUCCCAAUCUUUGGGACAUGAUGGUAUCUCAAAAGUAAGCCCCGGCUAACUACGUG